RNAcentral lists this ribosomal RNA (253 nucleotides) under uncultured bacterium. RNAcentral describes it as "partial 16S ribosomal RNA". It matches the Rfam family "Bacterial small subunit ribosomal RNA", at positions 524 to 776 of the family's 1533-position model. The record is from RNAcentral.
GACGAACCGUGCGAACGUUGUUCGGAAUUACUGGGCGUAAAGGGCGCGUAGGCGGCCUGCUAAGUCGAACGUGAAAUCCCUGGGCUCAACCCAGGAACUGCGUCCGAUACUGGUUGGCUUGAAUCCGGUAGAGGGAUGUGGAAUUCCAGGUGUAGCGGUGAAAUGCGUAGAUAUCUGGAGGAACACCGGUGGCGAAGGCGACAUCCUGGACCGGCAUUGACGCUGAGGCGCGAAAGCCAGGGGAGCAAACGGG